Molecule: ribosomal RNA, 252 nt
Filed under: uncultured bacterium
Lineage: Bacteria
Description: partial 16S ribosomal RNA
Rfam family: Bacterial small subunit ribosomal RNA
Source: RNAcentral
UACAGGGGGGCAAGCGUUGUUCGGAAUUACUGGGCGUAAAGGGCUCGUAGGUGGCCAACUAAGUCAGACGUGAAAUCCCUCAGCUUAACUGGGGAACUGCGUCUGAUACUGGAUGGCUUGAGUUUGGGAGAGGGAUGCGGAAUUCCAGGUGUAGCGGUGAAAUGCGUAGAUAUCGUAAGGAAGGCCGGUGGCGAAAGCGAGCCUCUGGACAGUUACUGACGCUGAUGCACGAAGGCCAGGGGAGCAAACGGG